GGACAACGGCGUCCUUGUCAUCAGCAGUUGCCUAGGGACCUGGCGAGUCCAGUAGGCUAGCCAGGGUCCAGGAGAGCAGUUUGUCUCCAGGGCAUUAGCCGACACAUCCAACCUGCGGUCCCUGGGGGGAUAGGAAGCGCUCUCACUGUGGUCCGAGCCGUCGGUGAGAUUUCACACACGGCAGCAGAACUCCUGAAGGUGUCUUCUCGGCACAACGUCCCACCGACAAAUCCUUUCUUUCCUCUGCUGUGUGUUUACUUUUCUUCAAGUCGUUCAGAGGUGACACCGUGUGGCAUUUGUCCCUCACUGCCUGACUCAUUUCACGUCACCUGAUGCUCCAGUUCCGUCCACGCUGUUGCCAAGGGCAGGAGCUCCCCCUUUCUCUCCACUGCGUAGGAUUCCACCGUGGAAAUGGUCCACAGUGACCUGAUCCCCUCACUCACCGGUGGGCCCUGGGCUGGUUCCAGUACUUGGCUGCUGUGAAAGGCGCUGCUGUGAAC
Molecule: long non-coding RNA, 500 nt
Organism: Artibeus jamaicensis (Jamaican fruit-eating bat)
Lineage: Eukaryota; Metazoa; Chordata; Mammalia; Chiroptera; Phyllostomidae
Exons: 3
Source: RefSeq, a predicted model, not a curated record